RNAcentral lists this ribosomal RNA (503 nucleotides) under uncultured bacterium. RNAcentral's name for it is "partial 16S ribosomal RNA". It matches the Rfam family "Bacterial small subunit ribosomal RNA", at positions 30 to 523 of the family's 1533-position model. The record is from RNAcentral.
AUUGAACGCUGGCGGCAGGCUUAACACAUGCAAGUCGAGCGGGGUGAUGGUGCUUGCACUAUCACUUAGCGGCGGACGGGUGAGUAAUGCUUAGGAAUCUGCCUAUUAGUGGGGGACAACAUCUCGAAAGGGAUGCUAAUACCGCAUACGUCCUACGGGAGAAAGCAGGGGAUCACUUGUGACCUUGCGCUAAUAGAUGGGCCUAAGUCGGAUUAGCUAGUUGGUGGGGUAAAGGCCUACCAAGGCGACGAUCUGUAGCGGGUCUGAGAGGAUGAUCCGCCACACUGGGACUGAGACACGGCCCAGACUCCUACGGGAGGCAGCAGUGGGGAAUAUUGGACAAUGGGGGGAACCCUGAUCCAGCCAUGCCGCGUGUGUGAAGAAGGCCUUAUGGUUGUAAAGCACUUUAAGCGAGGAGGAGGCCCUUUUGGUUAAUACCCAAGAUGAGUGGACGUUACUCGCAGAAUAAGCACCGGCUAACUCUGUGCCAGCCGCCGCAGUAA